CCUCUUGCUCCACUCCAGCUGGCCACCUGGGCUGCUACUGGAUCUGCCUGGCUCAGGGCUAGGAUAUAAAAGCUUCGGCAUCCAGAUGGGUGUUUUUAGAGGUUGGGACCCUGAGACCUGGACCAGACUGGGUGAGAACUACACAGUGGUGGCCCAGGCCCUCUUGCUGGAAUUUUGGGCUGCUUAUGUCACAGUGGAAGUAGACAGAAGAAAACGGUACUCUUGGACGGGCACAGUGGCUCAUGCCUGUAAUCCCAGAACUUUGGGAGGCCAAGGUGGAUGGAUCACCUGAGGUCAGGAGUUCAAGACCAGCCUGGCCAACAUGGUAAAAGCCCAUCUCUACUAAAAAUACAAAAAUUAGCUGGGUGUGAUGGCGGAUGCUUGUCAUCCCAGCAACUUGGGAGGCUGAGGCAGGAGAAUCGCUUGAACCCUGGAGGCGGAGGUUGCAGUGAGCCAAGAUCACGCCACCGUACUCCAACCUGGGUGACAGAGUGAGACUCUGUCUAAAAAAAACAAAAACAAAGACAAAAACGGUGAUCUAGUAACACAGAAAUGGCGACUGAGCACUUGGUCAGGGGACCUUGCACACAGGCUUGGCUCUGUCCUGUGAAUUUCUUGUGUUCCAGAAGUUCAAGGGCCUCAUCUUACUCUUUGCAGAAAUGGAACUCCAUCCUGAAGAUAAAAGAUGUCUGCUGCUGGGCUCACUUGAAGAUACUUCCUAACUUACAUGAAUAAUUAGCAUGCAUGGCCAGAGACUUGAAUACAGUGGGUGCUAAUUAAGUAGUUGUUGAAUUGAACUGGAAAGCCAAAGUGAAAUGCUCUCAAUUCUCACAAUGGAUUGUUCCUUUAUUUUAAAAAUCUCAUUCAAGAGCCACACUGUGAUCGCCUACGUGAAUCAUGCCUAUCUGUGUUAGCUCCACCUCUUCUGAUGCAGCAAAAGCGUUUUAAAAAAGCUGCACCUCCCAUUCGGAAGCUUGCCUUCCUACUGGGAAGACAGCUCCAGUGUGUACAUUCAUUCCUUGCUGGAGAGGUGGGUGUUGGGUGGAGUUGGGUGGGGGAGGAGGUGUUAAAACACCAUGGGAACAGGUUGCAUUGAAACUAUUAAAAGUCAAGGGUGGCGCCUGUGUUUUCCCACUUAAUUAACCGAGUAACACAGUUACUAGCUAAAUGGAACUUCACGGAGAGGAUGCCCCACCCGAGCUGGCUGUGUGGAAGCAAUAGGAGCUUGAGAGUUGCAACGCUGACCGCCAUCACUCUCCCUGCAUCCCGCCAUGAAAGGGAAAACACAAGUCACCACGAGGCCACUGCAAGUGGGGGGACAGGGCCGUAGACUGGACGUCAGGACACCCAGGAUGGAGCCUGGGCUCAGCCUUUAACUCACCGAAUGACCUUGGCAGGCCACUUCACGCUGCUGCAAUUCAGUGUCCUCAUCCAUAAACGCAUUGGGCAGAUGACCCUCGAGGUCCCUUUCAUCACAGACACUUUAAGUCUGAAAUUUCCUUUGGGCUUUAACAUUCUCCGCCCGAGAGGGCAGAACACUGAGGCAUCAAGACACAGACUCUGAAGCCGUGGAGUGGCUGGGGGGCCCAGACGCGGCUCAGUCAGGCGGGCACUGGCAGAACAGUUUCGGCACAGCGUGGUCCACAAAUGAAGGGCUGACCACUCAGCAACUCUGAAGACAUCGGGGUGGCUAAUGAUAUAAUUUUUCCAGUUUUUCAUAGCUAUUGAGGACAUUUAUGAAAAUCUCUUUAUAUGCAAGCAAUCGGCCACAGACCUUUAGACUGAAGUUUAGUGUUGUCCAUCUUCACAAAGAAGUGCAUCUCCUAAAAAGAACUGUGCCUUGGAAAAGUGAGAUGUAAAUUGCACAUGGUCUGAUAAAGUGGUUUGCUGUCAAAAUAGAGCCAAAUAAUAAGAUGUGCCGGAUGUAGGCAAAUAAUAUCGUUCACACUCAAAUAAUACGCAGAGCCGGUGGGGAAAUAAUAUUUUGCAUAAAUAGCUUCAGAGAGGGACGUUUAGUUCUACCACCGUCUGUUCACAUCUGAUCAAAUUUUCUCCACAAGGGGUGAGCUAAGCAGGUCUCCAGCUCAGCAUUUCCUGGAACUGCUGGGAAGCAAACAGACUCCCCUGGGAAACAUUUUUUUUUCUGUUUUGUUUAAGGAGACUCAGAAUUUUAUGCAAUUUGGAAAAAUGCAUGUCCUAGAUCAUAAAAUUAAUGUAGCAUUUUGGGUGUUAGUUUAAGGUUGAAAAAUGGCGAAAUGAAAAAUAUCAAAUGUGAAAGUAUUCCUUUUUUUGAGACAGAGUCUCACUCUGUCACUCACGCUGUAGUGUAGUGGCACAGUCAUAGCUCACUGCAGCCUUGAAAUCCUAGGCUUGAUUAAUCCUCCCAACUCAGCCUCUUGAGUAUCUGGGACUACAGGCAUGCAUCACCGUGCCAGCUGAUUUUUAAAAUUUAUUUUUAGUAGAGACAAGGUCUCACCAUGUUGCCCGGGCUAGUUUCAAACUCCUGAGCUCAAGCAAUCCUCCCACCUCAGCCUCCCAAAGUUCUGAGAUUACAGGUGCAAGCCACCGCACCUGGCCUGAAGUAUUCUUCUAGGUAGAUAAGUACAAAUGCAGUCCCUUACACAGAAUAAGAGCUCAAAGGAAUGUUGUUAUGAGGCAUUUGUGUUCUUCAUUAAUUUAGAAGACCUUGAAGACCCUAGAAACAAAGAGGUAUAUGAUAAUGUAUGAAAUUAACUCAUUCAAUACUGCAGUCUUGGAAGAGGUCAUUUAUCAUAUGGGGCAUGUGCUUCCUGAAAGGCAGCUUUAAACAUUAAUGAUUAAUUUAAAAGUUGAUGAACUAUUUAUAAAAAGAAACAGUGUUUUUUUGUUUUUAUUUGUUUUUGCAACCUACAAUGAGAUACUCCAAGAAUUUUGCUAGGAAGUUAAUAUUUUGGCAUAUAUAUUGUCUCAGGCUGCCAUAACGAAAUACCAUAGACUAGAUGGCUUAAACAACAGAAAUUUAUUUCUGAUAGGACUAGAGGAUGGGAAGUCCAAGAUCAAGGUGCCGGUAGUAGGUUUCACUAAGGCCUCUUCUCUUGCUGUGGGCACCUGGCAUCUGGCUGUGUGCUCACAUGGCUUCUCUGUGAGCGUGGAGGGAGAGAGAAAGCUAGCUCUUUGGUGUUUCUUCUGUAAGGAUGCUAAUUCCAUCAUGAGGGCCCCAUCUUCAUCUAAUCCUAUUCCCCUCCCAAAGACCCCAUUUCUAAAUACCAUCCAUUGGAGGUUAGGACUUCAAUAUAUGAAUUUUGGGUGGACACAAACAUUCAGUCUAUAACAUGUACUUUGUACAUACAUUUACUCAAAAGCUAUGCUUCUUUUAGACUGUUGCCUUGAAAGCCAGCAGGCAGGAAAGCCGGGAACAUCCAGCCAGUGUGAAGGGGCUGCCAAGAGGAAGUGAGUGGAGAAGGAAUACAGCUCUUGCGUCCUGGCUUGGUGAUGGAGGUUGGAUGGCACUGACUGCAGGGCCAGCUUUGUGGGGCCCCUGCCUUCUCCCUCAGACCUGCUUAGCAUGUUUGGUGAGGGGAAGGCAUUGUUAAGACAGUGCUUUUUCCAUCCAUCCGUGAGUUAAUUAUCCACAAGAAAAAUAGCACAAACGAUGUGACCGUCACUGGGACACCAACAGCAGCCAUCCAGGAGACCUCUGGCAGUCCCAUUUCAUCAAACAAAGUCUCCCAGGGUGGAAGAGCAGGGAUUCUGGGAGGCUACUUCUCAGUACUAGAUCUUCCAUUCUGUUCUAUCUGCAUUCUGCCCAACCAAAUUUUAACUCACUUCCCAAAACCUCAGAUACUUUGCAAUCCCAGGCCCUGAUGACAUGGCAAUUUCUCUUUGAGGGAAAUGAUGCCCCUCCCCUCAAACCAUGUGGUUCUUUCUCCUCUUCCCUCCCUUGGCUCAGGGACCAGCUUCUCCACUGACCUUCCCAGAAAACCCAGGCUUCCAGGGAUCUCGCCUCUGAGCACACAGCACAUUUUCUCUGUACCAUUUGAGCCAUCUCACCAACUCCCUGUGUUGUCAACAUGAAGAUUCUGAGGUCCUUAAGGUCGGGGGAAAAUGCAAUUAGAUUCUUCUUUGAACUUGCUCAGCUGCUGAGAACCAGGCUAGGAGAAGGCUCUGGAGUGUGUGCUGAUUGGCUCAGGCCCCCAGAUCAUCGGCCCUUGACAAACACUAAGUAAAUACAACAGGAAAUUCCUUUCCUCGACCAAGAGAACAUCUUGUUGCUAUGAAACGUGUAACAGUUAUGAAAGCCAUGACAAUGUGCUACAGCGAAACUGUCCCCCGUCAAGUAUUAGGAGAAAGAGAAAGGGACCACAGCUUAUUGGGGUGAUCACCAAGUGGCAGGUUCUGUCUAUUAUUUAAUUUAAUUUUCACAACAAACCUGUGAAUUAGGUAUUUGCUUCCCUGUGUAACCAGUGAGGAAGCUGAGCCUUGUAGAGAUUGACUUGCCCAAAGCCAACUAAUUAACAAAUGGCAGAAUAGGAAUAACAUUCAGAUUCAUUUGAUUUCUAAGUCUACGCUUUUUUCAUAUAUUAAAGCGCCUUCCAACACAUUAUACAUAUACAAGUAUAUUUUAUCACGGUAAAUUUCAGAUUUAAAACAUCCUCCUUAAUGCCAAGAAUUAAAUACAUGAAUGGGUUCUCAGAGCUUCCCUCAGUUACAUUGUGGCUUUACUCAGCUUGAUACCUGUGGACAGUGUUCAUGUCACUUCUGGGUUAGGCAAUCCUGAUCUGUCCAAUCUAAAGUGAUGACCUUCAGUGCUUUUUUGCUUUUUUCUUAUGUCAGGAAGUCAGGCAUUUAUUGAACUUUAAGGACAGACUUUAAGAAGGAACACAUGAAAAAAACUGACUAUUCUUAGUUAGCAGGGAAAUGCAAAUCAAAACCAUGAUGAGAUACCAAGUUACACCCAUUAGGAUGUCUGUAAUAAUAAUAAUAAUAAUAAGCGGAUGCGUGUAGUCCCAGCUUCUUGGGAGGCUGAGGCAGGAGAAUCGCUUGAACCUGGGAGGCGGAGGUUGCAGUGAGCUGAGAUUGCACCACUGCACUCCAGCUUGGUGACAGAGCAAGACUCUGUCUCAAUAAUAAUAAUAAUAAUAAUAAUAAUAAUAAUAAUAAGAUAUUAAGUGUUGAUAAAUGUGUGGAGAAAUUGGAGCCUCAUUCAUUGCUGGUGGGGAUGUAAAAUGGUACACCCACUUUGGGAAAUAGUCUGGCAGUUCCUAAAAAUGUUACAUAUAGAGUUAUCAUAUGACAUAGCAAUUCCACUUCUAGGUAUCUACCCAAGAGAAAGAGAAAGAUAUGUCCACAUAACAACUUGUACAUGAAUGUUUAUAACAGAAUUAUUCAAAAUAGCCAAUAAGGGGAAGCAAACUAAACGUCCAUCAACAGAUGAAUGGAAAAACAAAAUGUGGUAUAUCCAAACAAUGGAAUGUUAUUUGGUAAUAAAAGGAUUGAAUGCAAAAACAUGAAUGAAUGUUGAAAACAUUAUGUUAAGUGAAAGGAGCCAGGCACAAAAGACCAUACAUUCUUUGAUUCCAUUUAAGUGAAAUGUCCAAAAUAGGCAAAUCUAUAGAGACGGGAAAUAGAUUCGUGGUUUCCAGGGGCUGGGAAAAAGAGGGAGUGAUUCCCACUGUCUAAUGGUGUGAUGGUUAAUACUGAGUGUCAACUUGAUUGGAUUGAAGGGUGCAAAGUAUUGAUCCUGGGUGUGUCUGGGAGGGUGUUGCCAAAGGAGAUUAACAUUUGAGUCAGUGGGCUGGGGAAGGCACAGCCACCCUUAAUCUGGUGGGCAAAAUCUAAUCAGCUGCCAGCUAAUAUGAAGCAGGCAGAAAAAUGUGAAAAGGCGAGACUGGCCUAGCCUUCCAACCUACAUCUUUCUCCCGUGCUGGAUGUUUCCUGCCCUCAAACAUCGGACUCCAAGUUCUUCAGUUUUGAGACUCAGACUGGCUCUCCUUGCUCCUCAAGCUUGCAGACAGCCUAUUGUGGGACUUUGUGAUGGUGUAAGUUAAUACUUAAGAGACUCCCAUAUAUGCAUAUGUAUAUAUCCUAUUAGUUCUGUCCCUCUAGGGAACCUUGACUAAUACAAAUGGGUAUGGAUUUUCUUUUUGGGAUGACGGAGUAUUUUAAAGUUAGGUAGUGCUGAUGGUUGCACAGUAUUAUGAAUGCACUAAAAACUAUUGAAUUGUACACUGGCAUGGAUGAAUUCUACGUCAUGUGAAUUGUAUCUCAAUAAUGCUGUUAUUUAAGAAAAAAAGGAGAAAGAAAGGAAGGAAGGCAAAAGGAAGAAAGAAGGAAAGAAAGAAAGAAGAAAGCAGGCACCCCUACUGCCUGUUCUUGUAGAGCCCAGGGGUCUGGGUCAUUCAAGAAACUGGUCCACUAGCAGUUUCUCAAGUCCCCAUGCACCUUCUCAACACCACGCUUCUGUUCAUCCCAUUCAUCCUGGGAGGCUCUUCCCAGUUCUGUCUGCUUGGCCCAGUUCCCUUCAUACCCACUCUUCCCUGUGGUUUCCACAGAGUGACCUGGCAGGUUGCCCUGCUUUCUUAUCUGUGUGCCCAAAGACUGAGCUCUUUUGGGCUUGUCACAUGGUGCCAUGGUUCCUGGCCACCUGUCCAUCUUCCUGAUUACUCUGAAGGUUUGUGGAGGGUCAGGAAACAAUUGCAGUUAUUUUUGAGCACCUAGCAGCUGGCACAGGACCUGGCAGAGAGCAAAAGCGGGUAAUCGCAUGUGGAGUGGAACUGCGGCUAUCCACACAAAGGCCUUCCAUACACGCACACCAACCCCCCACCCCCCAACCCCAUCCCAGGGUAAAGCCAAGGCAGAAUUCACUGCAUUUCUUUUUAGCCAGUUUCCUCCUUCCUGUUAAAUUUAGGGCAAAUGAUCAGCUAUGUGUGUUGUGAUUGUGAUUAAAAAAAAAAAAUCCCCAGGUUUGUAAUCCAAUUCAGGAAACUGGAGAUUCUACUAACCAGUGCUGAGAAAGACUGGCAGGUUCUGCUAGAAAUUCAGAACGCCAAAAAAGUCAAAGGCGAUUACCUUGAAAAUAGCAAUUUACCUUAUGCUACCAACUUAUUUUGCCUUCUGUAGAAUAAGUAAAAUUGAUUUAAUUUAAUAAUGUGUUUGCCAAUUCUGAGAAAACUUG
This 7153-nucleotide long non-coding RNA is filed under the name Homo sapiens (human). RNAcentral's name for it is "HSALNT0049101". The record is from RNAcentral. Lineage: Eukaryota; Metazoa; Chordata; Mammalia; Primates; Hominidae.